CAGCAGCCGCGGUAAUACAGAGGGUGCGAGCGUUAAUCGGAUUUACUGGGCGUAAAGCGUGCGUAGGCGGCUAAUUGAGUCGGAUGUAAAAUCCCCGAGCUUAACUUGGGAAUUGCAUUCGAUACUGGUUAGCUAGAGUGUGGGAGAGGAUGGUAGAAUUCCAGGUGUAGCGGUGAAAUGCGUAGAGAUCUGGAGGAAUACCGAUGGCGAAGGCAGCCAUCUGGCCUAACACUGACGCUGAGGUACGAAAGCAUGGGGAGCAAACAGGAUUAGAUACCCCGGUAGUCCCUGUCUCUUAUAU
RNAcentral lists this ribosomal RNA (301 nucleotides) under uncultured bacterium. Its description in RNAcentral is "partial 16S ribosomal RNA". It matches the Rfam family "Bacterial small subunit ribosomal RNA", at positions 509 to 809 of the family's 1533-position model. The record is from RNAcentral.